UACAGAGGGGGCAAGCGUUAUUCGGAAUUAUUGGGCGUAAAGGGCGCGUAGGCGGCUUCGCAAGUGGAAGGUGAAAUCCCUCGGCUUAACCGAGGAACUGUUUUUUAAACUGCGUUGCUUGAGGUUGGGAGAGGUGAGUGGAAUUCUUAGUGUAGCGGUGAAAUGCGUAGAUAUUGGGAGGAACACCAGUGGCGAAGGCGGCUCACUGGACCGGUUCUGACGCUGAUGCGCGAAAGCGUGGGGAGCAAACGGG
RNAcentral lists this ribosomal RNA (253 nucleotides) under uncultured bacterium. RNAcentral's name for it is "partial 16S ribosomal RNA". It matches the Rfam family "Bacterial small subunit ribosomal RNA", at positions 524 to 776 of the family's 1533-position model. The record is from RNAcentral.